RNAcentral lists this ribosomal RNA (497 nucleotides) under uncultured bacterium. RNAcentral's name for it is "partial 16S ribosomal RNA". It matches the Rfam family "Bacterial small subunit ribosomal RNA", at positions 28 to 507 of the family's 1533-position model. The record is from RNAcentral.
GAUGAACGCUGGCGGCGUGCCUAAUACAUGCAAGUCGAGCGAACGGACGAGAAGCUUGCUUCUCUGAUGUUAGCGGCGGACGGGUGAGUAACACGUGGAUAACCUACCUAUAAGACUGGGAUAACUUCGGGAAACCGGAGAUAAUACCGGAUAAUAUUUUGAACCGCAUGGUUAACAAGUGAAAGACGGUCUUGCUGUCACUUAUAGAUGGAUCCGCGCUGCAUUAGCUAGGUGGUAAGGUAACGGCUUACCAAGGCAACGAUGCAUAGCCGACCUGAGAGGGUGAUCGGCCACACUGGAACUGAGACACGGUCCAGACUCCUACGGGAGGCAGCAGUAGGGAAUCUUCCGCAAUGGGCGAAAGCCUGACGGAGCAACGCCGCGUGAGUGAUGAAGGUCUUCGGAUCGUAAAACUCUGUUAUUAGGGAAGAACAUAUGUGUAAGUAACUGUGCACAUCUUGACGGUACCUAAUCAGAAAGCCACGGCUAACUACGUG